UUUUGACCCAGUUGUUGUGGUGGCGGAGAUGUAACCAAACUGUGAGCUACGCGCUUUUUGCUCCAUUUGCCCACUAUUUUAUUUUGUCGUUCAGACUACCUCACAUGGUGUACAAGUAUAAUAAAUGUCAACUACUUAAGUGGAAUUCCAGACUAACUCGUCAUUAGCAGCGGAUAAGAUCCACAAAGGUGGGAAUUACCCCAGAGCAUCCGUGAAUUGCUCUGGCCCUGGAGCUAGCAAGUGAAGGCUCCCCUGAGCCGUCUCGACUGCGGUCUGGAGGCGAGGCAGGAAAGGUAACACUGGGGGCUCGUCCAGUAUAAAGGAACCAGAAGGUCAACUGGCGAAGUGGCUCGAGAAGUUUGGGGAGUAUAACUUACAUCGUUCAGGACGCCACCACGAAAAUGCUAACGUCCUGUUCAGGAGGCCCUGCCGCCAGACUUGCUCCUGCACUAUACAGGACCAAACCCAGAACAAUGACUGUUUCAGGCACCAGGAAGUGCAGUGUGGCCUCGGUCCCAGCAUAGCUGAUUACGAGGUGGAAUCAAUCAAUCAAAUGUAUUUAUAAAGCCCUUUUUACAUCAAAGCCCUUUUUACAUUCAACAUGUCGAGUCUGAUGUGAUGAGAGAGAUGAGCGGCGUUAUCGAUAGCCAAUUUGAACCAUAACAUAACAUCAGAUACAGAUACACAAUUCAUCAUUUAUCAUUAUGAAAUGGAUGGGUCACAUUUAUUGAAAUUAUGCCAUUCUAAGUGACAAUUAACUGAAUCGGUGUCAUCAUGCUUGCACCUCCUUCGUCUGAUGACGGAACCGACAACGCCUGAAGAAAAGCGUUGCCUCACCAGGGUCUUUGCAACGUUUCCUCUCUGCGUGACGCCGCCAGACUUGCCCCUGCACUGUACAGGACCCUACCCAGAACAAUGACCAUUGCAGGCACCAGGAAGUGCAGUGUGACCUCGGCCCCAGCAUAACUGAUUACACUGUGGAAUCAAUCAAUCAAUCAAAUGUAUUUAUAAAGUAAUUUUUUACAUCAGCCGAUGUCACAAAGUGCUAUACAGAAACCCAGCCUAAAACCCCAUACAGCAAGCAAUGCAGGUGUAGAAGCACGUGGCUAGGAAAAACUCCCUAGAAAGGCAUGAACCUAAGAAGAAACCUAGAGAGGAACCAGGCUCUGAGGGGUGGCCAGUCCUCUUCUGGCUGUGCCGGGUUGAGAUUAUAAUGGUACAUGGCCAAGAUGUUCAAACGUUCAUAGAUGACCAGCAGGGUCAAAUAAUAAUAAUAAUCACAGUGGUUGUAGAGGGUGCAACAGGUCAGCACCUCAGGAGUAAAUGUCAGUUGGCUUUUCAUAGCCGAUCAUUCAGAGUUAGAGACAGCAGGUGCGGUAGAGAGAGAGAGUCGAAAACAGCAGGUACGGGACAAGGUAGCACGCCCGGUGAACAGGUCAGGGUUCCAUAGCUGCAGGCAGAAUAGUUGAAACUGGACAGGGCCAACCAGGCAGGAUAUACCGACAGAUACUACCUCAUGUGUUCCGGACGGACAGAAUGAAGCAGAUGCAUGACGGCCCAGUAACCAGUCACUUUGGCGUGGAACGAACACUUGCCCGGCUGCAGACAAGAUACUACUGGUACCGAAUGAGAGAGGAUGUCACACUAUGGUGUCGUACAUGUACCAGCUGUGCCGCUAAAGCCAGACCUUCGACGAAGCCCCAAGCACCUAUGGGCACUGUUCUCGUGGGAGUACCUAUGGAGAGGAUCGCCCCAUGAACAAGACAGAAUGCUAGAAUCGCUACAUAUUGGUGGUUCAAUACUAUUUCACAAAGUGGGUGGAAGCCUACCCUCUACCCAACUAUCAAGCCGCAACAGUGGCAGAAGUUCUGACAGCUGAAUGGGUGUGUCGCUAUGGAGCCCCACAGACACUCCACAGCGACCAAGGCUCCAACUUCAAAUCAGAAGUCUUCCAAAGAAUGCGUGAACUGUUAGGAAUCGAGAAGACUCUCACAACCCCUUUCAGACGGCAAUCUGACGGGCAAGUCAAAAGAUUUAAUGCCAUUCCACAGGAGAUCUUAGCCACUACCACAGAACGUUGUCAUUGGGACUGGGACCUUAAACCCCCUGAAGUAUGUGGGUCUGUAAAUUGUGACUGUUUUAUAUUCUAUGCAUUGAGACGUGGGCCAUGUUUUGGGAACUGUGUUAUUUUGUAUGGGAAGAAAAACUGGUAUUUUUGUAAACAGAAGGAAACAUUUUUGAAAUAUAACAGUUGUUGUAAAUUGCAAGUGCUAACCUUUUUCCUUUUCAGGAGAGAUAAAUAGGGGUCCUGCAUUCACACUGGAAUUACAUGUGCAAGCCCUACAGUGGACUGCUAGGUACUGGAACCACUGACUUGCCUUCCUUUCUCUAUGUAUCCUCAUCUGAAACCAACAGCCUUUGGGGUGACAGGUAGCCUAGUGGUUAGAGCGUUGGACUAGCAACCAAAGGUUGCAAGAUCGAAUCGCUGAGCUGACAAGGCAGUUAACCCACUUUUCCUAGGCCGUCAUUGAUAAUAAGAAUUUGUUCUUAACUGACUUGCCUAGUAAAAUUAAAAUAAAUCAAAAUCCUACCCACUGCUCCAUGUGCUUUUAGGGAAUAUGGACUGUAUUGACUACUUGCUCUGUCAGGACAGGACAAGUUCAGAGGACUUUAUCGACUGAAAAUAAUAAUAUUAAAAAAACAUUGCUCUGGCAGGAAAGGUAACAAUUUGCUUAAGUACUGAGAAAGAGAGGAGAGAGAAGAAAAAGAUGAGAGCAGAGACGAUAUAAUAGUGCCGGAAGGGAUGGCUGCCGUUUUACGGGCUCCUAACCAACUGUGCUAUUUUGAUAGUUUUUUCGCAUUAUUUGUAACUCAUUUUGUACAUAAUGUUGUUCCUACCGUCUCUUAUGACUAAAAAGAGCUUCUGGACAUCAGAACAUUGAUUACUCACCUCGAACUGGAAGAAGAUUUUUAUUUAAUGAGUCCGACGCGAAGGAUAUACUGCUUUGUCAAGACAAGGCCCAAAUCUCCAUCAUCAGCAUGAAGAAAAGACAAAGGAAAAGGGGAAGGAGGGUGGGGUGCCUUGUAAGUAUUUGCAGACGAGUAGGUAAAUCACCACUUCCCUCCAUAUUAUUGGCCAACGUGCAAUCAUUGGAAAACAAACUGGACAAUCUACGAUUAAAUCCUCUUUGGGCAAGGUGGGACACUAGCGUCCCAUCUGGCCAACAUCCAGUGAAAUUGCAGAGCGCCAAAUUCAAAUUACAGAAAUAGUAAUAAUAAACAUUCAUGAAAAUACAAGUGUUAUACAUUGGUUAAAAGAUAAACUUCUUGUUAAUCCAGCCGCUUUGUCAGAUUUCAAAAAGGCUUUACGGCAAAAGCAUACCAUACGAUUAUCUGAGGACAGCGCCCUGCUUACAAAAGCAUACAAACAUUUUCCAACCAAGUAGAGGAGUCACGAAAGUCAGAAAUAGCGAUAAAAUGAAUCACUUACCUUUGAAGAUCUUCAUCUGGUUGCAAUCACACGGGUCCCAGCUACACAAUAAAUGGUUGCUUUGUUCGAUAAAGUCCCUCUUUAUAUCCCAAAAACUCAGUUUUGUUGGCGCGUUUUGUUCAGUAAUCCCCUGGCUCAAAGGUGGUCAAAACAUGCAGACGAAUACACCCUAAUAGUACCGGUAAAGUUAAUCGAAACAUGUCAAACAAUGUUUAUAACUAAUCCUCAGGGUGUCAAUUAUCUAAAUAAUCGAUAAUAUUUCAACCGGACAAUAGCGUAUUCAAUAGAAAGGAAAAACAACAAAGAGCGCACACACAGUUACGCGCGCAAACCUGUACUGCAUGAUUCCAUAGUCCCCUGACCAAAAGGUCUCAUUCUUCUUCAUUUUUCAGAAAACAAGCCUAAAACCAUGUCUAAAGACUGUUGACAUCUAGUGGAAGCCAUAGGAACUGCAAUCUGGGCCCUAACCCAUUACAUAGUCAAUAGGCAUUCAAUGGAAAACCCACUCACAUCAAAUAAAUCCCACUUCCUGGAUGGAUUGUGCUCGGGUUUUCACCUGCCAUAUCAGUUUUGUUAUACUCACAGACAUUAUUUUAACAGUUUUAGAAACUUCAGAGUCUUUUCUAUCCACAUCUACCAAUUAUAUGCAUAUCCUAGCUGCUGGGCCUGAGUAACAGGCAGUUUACUUUGGGCACGCUUGUCAUCUAGACAUCAAAAUACUGCCCCCUAGCCCAAAGAAGUUUUAAGACUAUCCUACCAUUGGGACAUAAAAAAACUGUAAUAUCUUAUGUUUCAGUGAGACGUGCCUGAACGAUGACACCGAUAAUGUAGAGCUGUCUGGCUUAUUCGUGCAUCUGCAGGACAGAGCAGCUACGUCUGCAUGUCACAUGUGCAACCAGAGGAAAAAAAUCUAGACCACCUUUACUCCACACACAGAGACACAUACAAAGCUCUCCCUCGCCUUCCAUUUGGCAAAUCUGACCAUAAUUCUAUCCUCCUGAUUCCUGCUUACAAGCAAAGACUAAAUCAGGAAGUACCAGUGACUCGCUCAAUACGGAAGUGGUCAGAUGACACGGAUGCUGAACUACAGGACUGUUUUACUUGCACAGACUGGAAUAUGUUCCAUGAUUCAUCCAAUGGCAUUGAGGAGUAUACCACCUUAGUCACUGGCUUCAUCUAUAAGUGCAUCGAUGACGUCGUCCCCACAGUGACCGAACGUACAUUUCCCAACCAGAAACCAUGGAUUCUAGGCAACAUCCGCACUGAGCUAAAGGCUAGAGCUGCCACUUUCAAGGAGCAGGACUUUACUCUGACCCUUAUAAGAAAUCCCGCUAUGCCCUCAAACGAACCAUAAAACAGUCAAAGCCUCAGUACAGGACUAAGAUUGAAUCCUACUACACCGGCUCUGACGCUCGUCCGAUGUGGCAAGGCUUGAAAAAUAUUACAGACUACAAAGGGAAACCCAGCCGUGAGCUGCCCAGUGCCACGAGCCUACCAAAUUAGCAAAAUGCCAUUUAUGCUCGCUUCGAGGCAAGCGAUAUUGAAGCAUGCAUGAGAGCACGAGCUGUUCCGGACGACUGUGUGAUUACACAUAGCCAAUGUGAGCAAGACCUUUAAACAGGUCAACAUUCACAAAGCCACGGGGCCAGAUGGAUUACCAGGACGUGUACUCAAAGCAUGCGCGGACCAACUGGCAAGUGUCUUCACUGACAUUUUAAACCUCUCCCUGACCAAGUCUGUAAUACUUACAUGUUAGAAACAGACCACCAUAGUCCCUGUGCCCAAGAAAGCAAAGGUAACCUGUCUAAAUGAUUACCACCCCAUAGCACUCACGUCGGUACCCUUGAAGUGCUUUGAAAGGUUGGUCAUGGCUCACUUCAACACCAUCAUGCCAGAAACCCUAGAAACCAUAGACCCCUUCGCAUACCACCCCAACAGAUCCACAGAUGACACAAUCUCAAUUGCAGUCCACACUGCCCUUUCCCACCUAGACAAAAAUACACCUGUGUGAGCAUGCUGUUCACUGACUACAACUCAGCGUUCAACACCAUAGUGCCCACAAAGCUCAUCAAUAAGCUAAGAACCCUGGAACUAAACACCUCCCUCUGCAACUGGAUCCUGGACUUCCUGACGGGCCGCCCCAGGUGGUAAGGGUAGGCAACAACACAUCUGCCAUGCUGAUCCUCAACACGGGAGCCCCUCAGGGGUGCGUGCUUAGUCCCCUCCUGUACUCCCUGUUCACCCACGACUGCGUGGCCAAGCACGGCUCCAACACCAUCAUUAAGUUUGCUGAUGACACAAUAGUGAUAGGCCUGAUCACCGACAAUGACAAGACAGCCUAUACAGAGGAGGUCAGAGUCCUGGUCGUGUGGUGCCAGGACAACAACCUCUCCCUCAAUGUGAGCAAGACAAAGGAGCUGAUCGUGGACUAAAGGAAAAAGGGGAUGAACAGGCCCCCAUUAACAUCGACAGUCCUGAAGUGGAGCGGGUCCAGAGUUUCAAGUUCCUUGGGGUCCGCAUCACCAACAAACUAUCAUGGUCCAAACACACCAAGACAGUUUGAACGAGGGCACGACACACCUUUUCCCCCUCAAGAGACUGAAUAGAUUUCAGAAAGUUAUACAGCUGCACCAUCGAGAGCAUCCUGACCGGUUGCACCACCGCCUCGUAUGGCAACUGCUUAGCAACUGACCGUAAGGCGCUACAGACGGUAGUGCGUACGGCCGUGUACAUCCCUGGGGCCAAGCUUCCUGACACGCCAGUCACCCAAGUCAAUGACUGUUCUCUCUGCUACCGCACGGCAAGCGGCACCGGAACUCCAAGUCUAGGACCAAAAGGCUCCUUAACAGCUUCUAUCCCCAAGCCAUAAGACUGCUGAGCAAUUAAUCAAAUGGCCACACAGACUAUUUACAUUGACCCCCCCAAAUUACCUGGACUAACAUUGACUUGGUACCGGUUCCCCCCUGUAUAUAGCCUCCUUAUUGUUAUGUAAUUUUCUUGUGUUACCUUUUGAUUAUUAUUAUUUUUUUUUUUUACUUUAGUUAGUGAAUAUUUUCUUAACACUAUUUCUUGAACUGCAUUGUUGGUUAAGGGCUUGUAAGUAAGCAUUUCACAGUAAGGUCUACUACACCUGUUGUAUUCGGCGCAUGUGACAAAUAAAAUUAGAUUUGAUUUGAUUUGAGAUAACGUCAGUGUAGUCAGCAGUGCUACAAUGGGACCCAUGGUGCUAAUGAGUGGUUGCCUAGCAACUGCAUCUAGGGGUGGGCCAGCCAGGUUUUCACAGCAGCACCGUGCCUGGGCAGGGAGGACUUCAGACAUAGCUCAACCCAUGGAUGGAUUCCAUUCUAUUUACUUUACUUUAUUUAUAUACAAUUAAUAAACGUCUAAUAACAUUGUUUUAUCUAUUAAAAGUCUGUUACAGCCUAUGUUUAGAUUUCCAGUAAUUUCAACCAAUGAAUUGUGUGUUCUGUGUUCACAGUGUAUAAUUUUGACUCUGUUUUAUUAAUCGUGUUGUUCUGGCGUUGCACAGCACUGAACAUUGUUAAGUCAAAUGCAUCAGUUCACUUUGCAACAACAGUUUGUCUCCUCUUCUCCAAAGUAUCUAGGCCUAUAUUCAGCCAAAUUGCAGCGCAACAACCUCCAAUAGGAAUCACUCAGCUUUGACACACCCCUCUUUUUAGCUACUGCUACUCUCUGUUCAUCAUAUAUGCAUAGUCACUUAUAUAACCAUACCCGCAUGUACAUACUACCUCAAUAAGCCUGUCUAACCAGUGUCUGUAUAUAGCCUUGCUACUCUUAUUUUCAAAUGUCUUUUUACUGUUGUUUUAUUUCUUUACUUUCCUACACACACACACACACACACACACACACACACACACACACACACACACACACACACACACACACACACACACACACAUACCUUUUUUUUCUCGCACUAUUGGUUAGAGCCUGUAAGUAAGCAUUUCACGGUAAGGUCUACACCUGUUGUAUUCGGCG
RNAcentral lists this long non-coding RNA (7489 nucleotides) under Salmo salar (Atlantic salmon). RNAcentral describes it as "lncRNA (ENSSSAG00000114000.1)". The record is from RNAcentral. Lineage: Eukaryota; Metazoa; Chordata; Actinopteri; Salmoniformes; Salmonidae.